Molecule: unclassified non-coding RNA, 198 nt
Filed under: soil metagenome
Description: partial contains 5.8S ribosomal RNA, internal transcribed spacer 2, and large subunit ribosomal RNA
Source: RNAcentral
AACGGUCUAUACCUGCGGUACCUGCGGAGGAUCAUUAUCAAUUUACAGCGGACUUCGGUCCUGUCUGCACCCUUGUCUUUUGCGUACUAUAUGUUUCCUCGGUGGGCUUGCCUGCCGAUAGGACACUUAUAAACUCUUUUGUAAUUGCAAUCAGCGUCAGAAAACUAUAAUAGUUACAACUUUCAACAAUGGAUCUCU